RNAcentral lists this ribosomal RNA (610 nucleotides) under uncultured bacterium. Its description in RNAcentral is "bacterial SSU rRNA". It matches the Rfam family "Bacterial small subunit ribosomal RNA", at positions 895 to 1503 of the family's 1533-position model. The record is from RNAcentral.
UGAAACUCAAAGGAAUGACGGGGACCCCGCACAAGCGGUGGAGCAUGUGGUUUAAUUCGAAGCAACGCGAAGAACCUUACCUGGCCUUGACAUCCCGAUGACAUCAGGGUAAUGCCUGGUUCCCUUCGGGGCAUUGGAGACAGGUGGUGCAUGGUUGUCGUCAGCUCGUGUCGUGAGAUGUUGGGUUAAGUCCCGCAACGAGCGCAACCCUUACCUUCAGUAGCCAGCAUUUAAGGUGGGCACUCUGGAGGGACUGCCAGGGACAACCUGGAGGAAGGUGGGGAUGACGUCAAAUCAUCAUGCCCCUUAUGGCCAGGGCUACACACGUGCUACAAUGGCGUAAACAGAGGGAAGCGACCACGCGAGUGUGAGCAAAUCUCAAAAAUAACGUCUCAGUUCGGAUUGUAGUCUGCAACUCGACUACAUGAAGCUGGAAUCGCUAGUAAUCGCGGAUCAGAAUGCCGCGGUGAAUACGUUCCCGGGUCUUGUACACACCGCCCGUCACACCAUGGGAGUUGGAAACGCCCGAAGCCGGUGACCCAACCUAAACAGGAGGGAGCCGUCGAAGGCGGGUCCGAUGACUGGGGUGAAGUCGUAACAAGGUAACCGU